This 460-nucleotide ribosomal RNA is filed under the name uncultured bacterium. Its description in RNAcentral is "partial 16S ribosomal RNA". It matches the Rfam family "Bacterial small subunit ribosomal RNA", at positions 338 to 795 of the family's 1533-position model. The record is from RNAcentral.
CCUACGGGGGACAGCAGUGAGGAAUAUUGGUCAAUGGACGAGAGUCUGAACCAGCCAAGUAGCGUGAAGGAUGACUGCCCUAUGGGCUGUAAACUUCUUUUGUAAAGGAAUAAAACGAGGCACGUGUGCCUUUUUGCAUGUCCUUUAUCAAUAAGGAUCGGCUAACUCCGUGCCAGCAGCCGCGGUAAUACGGAGGAUCCGAGCGUUAUCCGGAUUUAUUGGGUUUAAAGGGCGCGUAGAUGGGUUGUUAAGUCAGUUGUGAAAGUUUGCGGCUCAACCGUAAAAUUGCAAUUGAUACUGGGAGUCUUGAGUACAGGUGAGGUAAGCGGAAUUCGUGGUGUAGCGGUGAAAUGCUUAGAUAUCACGAAGAACCCCGAUUGCGAAGGCAGCUUACUAAACUGUGACUGACAUUGAUGCUCGAAAGUGUGGGUAUCAAACAGGAUUAGAUACCCGUGUAGUC